AAAAUAACCCUCCACUUACAACACAGGAAGGAUUUCCCCUUUCCAACGCCCUGCCUCAAAACUGGCGCCGUUUCUACUUUGCAGGCCACUUCAGAGUGGCCCGUGGAUGGCUCACUGGGACCUGCAGACGAACAACACUUCCGCGGGCUGCAAGCCCGGCAGCCAGAGGAAAGGAGCUUCCAGGAGGCUGGGGGAAUGCAGUGAGCAAGCACCCCCCUUGGGUCAGGGGGGCUCUGACCCAGAGCAGGUGCUCCCCCAUUCCUCUCAGGGAGACCCUCCCCUCCAGGACCCACUCAGCCACCACACUGCAUGAUUCAUGCCGCUGGACCGCGCUUGGGUGAAGGUCAGUUGGCUGCCCACUACAAAGGCCCUACCACUUCCAGCCUCCCGGGGGCAGCCCUCAACAAUCAACGUGUUCAGCGACCAGCUCAGGGCCCUGAGUGCCAGGCUUCACUGUUCUGCUGAAGGACCUUUAAGUGUUGAAAUGUCUUCAUCUUCCUGCUCUCAUUUACAAAAAGUAUUCCCAAAAAUGUCUUCCAAGGAAAAUUAGUUUGGGGUGUUGCGCCUCACGGGAUGUAAAAGCGCCAGGGCUGAAUGGAAGGGAGAGAGGCGAGCAGGCCUGGUUCGUGUGUUAAUGGUGAAUAACUUGGCCCUGGCCCCACCUUGAAGUUGCUAAUCUGCUGGAUACUCUCCAAGUACAACGUUCAGAUACAGAAGAAGGGCAGAAAGGAAGCCAACGUUUGCUGAGCACCUGGUACACGUAAGGCGCUGGCAUGGAGACAUCUUCCUGGGUCUCAUUUUCUCCUGGAACCCUCCGAGGGGGGUGCUGUGUCCAGGGCGAAACCACAGUCGGAAGGUCAGCACCCUGCCCAAGAUCAUAGAGCUGUGAAGAGGACAACUGGGGGCUUCCAUCCGUCAGGUAGAUUCUGACUUCAGAACUCAUGUUCGUCCCAGCAAACAACAACGGAGUCAGUGUCAUAACCGUGAAUGACGAUGGGGUGGUUGCAAUCUGUCAAUCUGAGACAGCCUUGCCUUGAGUUUCCAGCACGCUAUGAAAUAGGGUGGCCGUCGAUCCCAUGCCCUCUGCCCAGUUUGCUCGUGUACUUCCUUCUUCACCCCGACACCUCUGACACACAGCUCCGGGGACGAGAAAAGCCCCCAAGACCCCAGCCCCAGGACGAGCGGCAGAAUGCCCAGGCAGGAGAGGCUCCUUGUUGAUACCAUCCAGCCUGGUGAAUUCUACAGACAACAAAGCGUCGCUGAAUGAAAAAAAAUAGGUCUUGAAACAGUACCUAAGGAAUGAUCUCAUGUACAAAAUUCCAUCUAUAGGACUAUGUACCCGCAGGGGCGUCCUCCUGGGGGUAGGACAGGCACCAGAAUGUUGUCUCUUAGCUGGGAUUACGGGUAGGACUUCUCUACCCCCUGCCCCCACCUCUUUGUUCUUGUAGGAUUUUCUUCCCUAAAGGCAGCUAACUAGGGAAGAUCUACCCCCACCCCCACCCCCGCAAAGACCUCUGGGCCCAGAUCCCUCCAGAUCCUCCCAAAGACCCUCUAGGCCCAGAUCUCCCAAAGACCACCCCUGUGUGGCCAGCGCAUGGACACAGACACCUGCCUGUCUGCCCACCCUUCCAUUCAACACUUCAAGGCAACCGGUUCUGGGUGAUGAACUGACCACUCUGGUGGGUGUGGCGGAGUCAGGACGCCACCUCUAUGCCAUCGGGCAGAAUGGUCUGCCCUCCUCCCCUUUGUCAGAUCCUCCCUCUGUGGACACUCAACUCAGUUCCCAGGCCCUCCCAAGAGGCUCUUCCAAGAAGCCUUCUCAGAUGCGCAGAGUCCAAAACAUUCUUUCCCUUUCCUCCCAACACCCACUUGCCUCAAUACUCUGCUCCCGCCUCUACGUAAAUUCCUGUCCCAUGCAUUGUCUUUGAAUUAAAUACCCGUGUCUAUG
Molecule: long non-coding RNA, 1948 nt
Organism: Callorhinus ursinus (northern fur seal)
Lineage: Eukaryota; Metazoa; Chordata; Mammalia; Carnivora; Otariidae
Source: RefSeq, a predicted model, not a curated record